Molecule: non-coding RNA, 39 nt
Filed under: Alexandrium minutum
Lineage: Eukaryota; Dinophyceae; Gonyaulacales; Pyrocystaceae
Source: RNAcentral
GAAAAAAAAAAAAAAAAAAAAAAAAAAAAAAAAAAAAAA